This 74-nucleotide transfer RNA is filed under the name Neocinnamomum mekongense. RNAcentral's name for it is "tRNA-Met". It matches the Rfam family "tRNA". From Rfam's summary of the family: Transfer RNA (tRNA) molecules are approximately 80 nucleotides in length. Their secondary structure includes four short double-helical elements and three loops (D, anti-codon, and T loops). Lineage: Eukaryota; Viridiplantae; Streptophyta; Magnoliopsida; Laurales; Lauraceae. The record is from RNAcentral. RNAcentral also lists the same sequence under 4 other names.
CGCGGGGUAGAGCAGUUUGGUAGCUCGCAAGGCUCAUAACCUUGAGGUCACGGGUUCAAGUCCUGUCUCCGCAA